UGGAGACAUAAAUGGACUCUUUAUCCUUGC
This 30-nucleotide non-coding RNA is filed under the name Rattus norvegicus (Norway rat). Lineage: Eukaryota; Metazoa; Chordata; Mammalia; Rodentia; Muridae. The record is from RNAcentral.